AUAUCAAUAAGCGGAGGAAAAGAAACCAACAGGGAUUGCCUUAGUAACGGCGAGUGAAGCGGCAAAAGCUCAGAUUUGAAAUCUGGUGUCAUUUUGGCAUCCGAGUUGUAGUCUGUAGAGGUGUAUUCGAGUGUAGCUUUGGCUUAAGUUCCUUGGAACAGGACGUCAUAGAGGGUGAGAACCCCGUUAACGGCCUUUGUCUUGUGCUCAUGUGAAUCUCCUUCAACGAGUCGAGUUGUUUGGGAAUGCAGCUCUAAAUGGGUGGUAAAUUCCAUCUAAAGCUAAAUACUGGCAAGAGACCGAUAGCGCACAAGUAGAGUGAUCGAAAGAUGAAAAGAACUCUGAACAGAGAGUUAAAUAGUACGUGAAAUUGUUGAAAGGGAAGCACUUGCAACCAGACGCACUUGCAGCCGAUCAAUUCUCAUUUUUGAGGGUGCACUCGGUUGUCUGUGGGUCAGCAUCAGUUAUGGUGGUAGGAAAAAGACUUAGGGAAUGUAGCUUCUUUCGGGGAGUGUUAUAGCCUUUUGUGCAAUGCUGCCUGCUGUGACUGAGGACCGCGCUUUGGCGAGGAUGCUGGCAUAAUGGUUGUAAGUGA
Molecule: ribosomal RNA, 595 nt
Filed under: Terfezia boudieri
Lineage: Eukaryota; Fungi; Ascomycota; Pezizomycetes; Pezizales; Pezizaceae
Description: eukaryotic LSU rRNA
Rfam family: Eukaryotic large subunit ribosomal RNA
Source: RNAcentral